UACGUAGGUGGCAAGCGUUGUCCGGAUUUAUUGGGUUUAAAGGGUGCGUAGGCGGCUUGGUAAGUCAGGAGUGAAAGUUUGCGGCUCAACCGUAAAAUUGCUUUUGAUACUGCCAGGCUAGAAUCAGGAUGAGGUCAGCGGAAUGUGGCAUGUAGCGGUGAAAUGCAUAGAUAUGCCAUAGAACACCUAUUGCGAAGGCAGCUGGCUAGACCUGUAUUGACGCUGAGGCACGAAAGCGUGGGGAGCGAACAGG
This 253-nucleotide ribosomal RNA is filed under the name uncultured bacterium. RNAcentral's name for it is "partial 16S ribosomal RNA". It matches the Rfam family "Bacterial small subunit ribosomal RNA", at positions 524 to 776 of the family's 1533-position model. The record is from RNAcentral.